UCUGGUCAAUGGUUGCUGUGUUUAGUAUAAAAAGGGUCUUUUUUUUGUAACCAUAAACUAGUCGAUUCAUUCUCCAAGUCUGUGAGAGAAUCUCUGGAAUCUUCAACCCAUUUUGUCUUCUCUUCAAUUCUCAUCUUUCCUUUUCUGUGUGAUUAAAGGUUGAAAUCUCCAUGUAAGGUAGGAGUCUUUGUGAUUUCUGCUAUAUGUGUUAGACGAUUGAUCUAGGAUUGAGUUCUUUCUGGGUCCAUUGUAGUGACUUUGUUUCAUAUCUUGAGUUGUGAGGGUUUUGGGUUUGUCCCGUGCCUCUAUGUUGAUAUAGAAGUGUACAAUGAUCUAAGCCUACAAUCGAUGAGAUCUUUGAUGCUUGUUGAUUGGGGAUUUUUUGAGUAUUGUUGAUGUAUUCUCUCUGUACUGAAAUUGUUGUAUCUUUGUGUGAUUUGUAUUAAUAGUGGUAUCAGAGUCUUGCGGAGGCAUCGUUCAAGUCUUCGAUCGAGUUUAUCUCUGGAAAAUUAAUUUUCAAUUGAUAACUUGAAUCGAUUGGAAAUCAGAUGAAACCCUAGGUCUACUAUUUAUAGAUCUAGAGGUUGCUGGAGUAGAUUGUGGUACUGAGAAUACAAUCUUAAAAGAAACUAUUGGUUUCUGUAUGCUCUUUGAGGAGAAGCCCUAGAUCUAGAUUUUAUCAAGUGUGAAAUCCCAAAUCCGAGUUCAUAACGGCCUGUGAUCUUUUUGUAAAACAAGUGCUCUAGUGGUUACAUUAAAAAAUACCACCACUCUGAUUUGCAGCUUUUAACCCUAACUCAUUUCUUGUGUUCUCUUUUGAACUGUUUUCUAUUCUUUCAUAUGUAAAAUUGUGCUUGGUUCUGCAUUAUUAUCGUGGCCUCUGCUAUUUGAUAAUCUUCGUUUUUUUGAGCUAUUCCUAGGUUGUGCCUUGACCUGAGAACUUGAUUCUCACAGAAUCCUGGUGAAUCUGGGAAUCAGUUUGGGAGUGAUCUAUUGUUAUAGUUUUGUGCUUUACCCAUGAGCUAUUGUUGUAUGUGAGUUCAUUAUUUUUUGUUAAAAGAUACAUGGUAGUUCUUGCAUUUGUGUCCCUUUAUAUUUGUUUUUGGAACGGUGACUUUUUUUUUUAAUUCAUCUUUUUUGAAUUGUUGUCACUGAUAUAAUUCUCUUCCUUAAAUAAAGAAAAUUAUUCUUUUCAAAUAUAAUGAUUACAGCCACUUUUGAACUUGGUGUUUAUAAUAGAAAAUGGGAUUUUCCCAUCUAGCAACAAAAGAUAAAGAGAGUUUUAGGUCAACAAAGAGAUUCUAAGCUAAUGAUUAGAAAAAUGAAGUUGAUGAACUAGCCUAUACUUCUAUUAUCUUGUAUUUACCUGGUCAAAUAUUAAGAAAAGUAGGAAAAAAGAAUACUACCAAAGAAUUGUGGAAAAGACUAGAAGAACUUUACCUGGCUAAAUCUCUGCCAAAUAAACUGUUUCUUUUGGAAAGAUUCUUUGGCUUUAAAAUUGAUUCCUCUGAGGACUUAGAUGAUAAUCUUGAUGUCUUCAAUAAAUUACUCCACGAUAUCACUAAUACAAGGAUAAGGUAUCUGAGAAAUAUAAAGUUGUUGUCCUAUUAAAUGCAAUACCAGAAAUCUUAAAGGAUGUCAAAACUACCAUAAAUAUGGCAUAGACAUCCUCACACUUGAUAUUGUUAUUGAAUCCUUGAGAAGUAAAGAACUAGAAUUAAAUAUGAGAAACAUAGGAAUACGUCUGAGAGUUUCUUUGUGAGAGACAAACCUUAGGUUAGGCAAAAAUAGGGACAACAAUUCAGCUCAUCGGCUCGAAAAAAUCCCAAACCGGCCCAGCUCAAGGAUCGAGUCGAGUCCCAUUUUGAAAGGACGAAAUGGGCUCACACGGGCCGGCUCGAGCUUCAACUGCCUUUAAAAGGUGCCAUUUUGCUACCUUAAGAGGUAGCCAAGUGGGGCCUUUCAUUUUUUAAGGUCCAUAAUAAAAGGCAGCAGCACAAUGCCUUAAAAAGGCAGCACAAUGUUGCCUUCAAUUUACUUAUUAAAAAAAUUAACAGUAAAAGGCUUGUUCGGAAAGGCCAGAGCUAAAAACUCAGGCUGAGCCUAAAUUUUUUGUUUGGCUCAAUUCGAGCUCAAAAAAAUCUCACACCAUUUUACUUGAGCCGAGCUUGAGCCUCGAGUUUUGACUUGGCUCGUUAACAUCCCUAGGCAAAAGUGAAGUCAGAAAGAUCAAAAUAGCCAAGUAAAUAGUAAUAAGAAAAAAGGUAGAGAGAGGAUUAGAUCUAAAUCUAGGACUAGAAAUAAGAAGUGAUAUGGGUGAGGAAAAUAAGGUCACUUUAUAAAGGACUGUUAUCAAAAGCAGAAUGAAAUAAAAGAAAAGAAAAUAGAUGAAGGUAAUAUGGUAGAACUUGUAGAGUCUAACACCAUUGAUGUGUAUGUUGUUAGUAAGCAUACCACUAAUCUAAACACUGCCUAAUUUUUUAGCUAACAGUGAUCAGAACCAAGAAUGGAUAUUGGAUUCAGGUUGUACCUUUCAUGUGACAUCUAGAAAACGAUGGUUAGACAAUUUUUAAAAUACUUAGUGGAGGUGAAGUGGUUAUGGGAAAUAAUGUUGUAUGUAAAGUGGAAGGUAUAAGUAAUGUUACCUUGAUGUUUGACAAUGGAUAUAUCUAUACUCUUGAAAGAGUUAGAUAUGUCCUUGAAUUGAAUAGGAACAUUAUCUCCACCGGGGAUUUAGAUGACAUGGACCUCAGGCCUGCAAGGUAAAUUUGGAAAUGGCUUAGUUAAAGUGAUGAGAGGAUCACUUGUCAUUUUCAAGGGUUAUAAAAGAAAUGGAAUACAUAUCACCAAAGCUGAUGUUGUCAUGAAUAAUGCUGCUAAAGUUACCAGUUUUGAAUCUGAUUCUACCUUCAAGUGGCAUAAAAGGCUGGCUCAUGUGAGUGAAAAAGGACUUCAAAUCCUUCAUAAGAAAGGGGUUUUUGGUAAAGAUUAUGUAACAAAAAAUCAUUUUUUGUGAAGAUUGCACCCUAGGAAAGCAACAUAGAUUACACUUUAAUACUGGUCAACAUAAAUCCACUUCUACCUUGAAUAUAUUCACUCUGACCCUUGGGGAACUUCAUCCACCACCACUCAAGGAGAGAAUAGGUAUUUCCCAGCCUUAAUUGAUGAUUAUUCAAAUAAAGUCUGGACUUACCUACUUGAACAAAAAUUUGAGACUUUUGAAAGGUUUAAAUGGUUAAAGACUUUGAUAGAAAAUCAAACAUCUAAGAAGAUUAAAAUUCUAAGGACUGAUAAUGGUUUAGAAUUUUACAAUGCUGAAUUUGACUAGUUUUGCAAAGAAAAUGGAAUCCAAAGACAUAAAACGGUACCCUAUACCUAGGACUCUUUUGGACAAAGUCGAAUGUAUCAUGGUUGGUUGUGGAGUUCCCAAGGUACUCUGGGGAGAAGCUGUAAUAACAGCAACCUAUAUAGUUAAUAGAACUCUCUCUAGUGCACUAGGAUGUAAAACACCUGAGGAAGUGUGGUUUGGAAAGAGUCCAGAGUACUCUCAUAUAAAAUUUUUUGGUUGUGCAGUCUAUUCUCAUUAGAGUAUUGGUAAACUUGAGCCAUGGACUCAAAAGUGUAUUUUCUUGGGAUGUCCUGAUGGAGCUAACACACCAUUUGAGCCCCCUUAUUUCUCAUUAUAACGUUUUGAAUAGUGUUUUAUUUGAAAAAUGAGUGGCUGAAAAGUUUUUGAUUUAUGUGUAAUAUUAUUUUAUUGAAGAUUGUGUAGUUAAAAGUAUGAGAGAUAAAAUUUUAAUUUAAUGUAAUGAGAAAUAAUGGGGAUCAAACGGGGUCUAAAUAACAUAGUUUAUGGGCCAGAGAUUUAACGGGUUUUAAAUUCAUUACCAAAAGGGGUGUCACUUUUAAUGAAAAUGAAAUGUCUUGUCUUAGUGAUAAAGAGACUGAAAGAAAUUUGGAUGUUGGAGAGGGUAAUGGGACUAUGUUCCAGGUAGAACCACAGUUGCCUCUUGAGUCUACUUAUCAGAUCCAGGUGGAGUAUGGAUAUGAUGGGGUUGGACCUAGCACUGUUGAACUUGAACCAAAGGGCGGCACAAAUGAAGUUGUGACGAUGAGAGUGAACCUCUUGAAAACCUAAAUGACUACCAACUAAAUAGAGAUAGAGUUAUAAGGGAGAUUAGGGAUCCAUCUAGCUUACCCCUCUUGCUAUUUUGUCUUACCAAGAUCUAGCUUUUAAGGAGCCAAAAUCUUAUGAUGAAGUCAUAUCCAACCAGUUGAGUAAACACUGGCAAGUGGCCAUGGAAGAUGAAAUGAAAUCCCUUUUGAAAAAUUAGACUUGGAAACUUGUCACCAAGCCUAAAUAUCAAUUUGUUGUAGAUUGUAAAUGGGUUUACACUGUGAAAGGAGGUUCAAAAAAGUAACCUCUUAGAUUUAAGGCCAGACUGAUUGCCAAGGGAUUCAUACAAAAUCAGGGAAUAGAUUACAAUGAAAUUUUUUCAUCUAUAGUAAAAUAUACCACAAUCAGGGUAAUGUUAGCUCUUGUGGCUCAUUAUGACUUCGAAUUAGAGCAAAUGGAUGCUAAAAUAGCUUUCUUGCAUGGGGACCUAGAUAAGAUCAUCUAUAUGAAAUAGCCAAGGGAUCUAUAGAUAAGAAUAAGCCUGAUCAUGUUUGCUUGCUAAAAGAUCCUUGUAUGGUUUAAAAGAAUGACCUAUACAAUGGUAUAAAAUGUUUGAUACAUUUGUUUCUUCAAUUGGAUUUAUAGGAGUUCUUUUGACCAUUGUUUGUACUUUAAAAGAAAUAAGGUGCUGUGAUUGUUUACCUUUUGUUGUAUGUAGAUGAUAUGUUACUCAUUGGGCAUGAUAGUAAUUGCAUCUAUGAUAUCAAAAGGUUUUUGAGCUCUAAAUUUGAAAUGAAAGAUUUGGGACAUGCUAAAAGAAUCCUAUGUAUGGACAUUAUAAGAAAUAGACCUAAAAGAUUACUUGUUUUGAAACAAACUUCUUAUGUGGAAAAAAUGUUGUUAAAAUAUGCUAUGCAUGAAUAUAAAUCUGUUAAUUUACCUUUGGCCAGUCAUUUCAAAUUUGGCAAAGAACAAUGCCCUAUAGAUGAAUCUGAUGUUAAGUAUAUGGAAAAGGUUUCCUAUGUUAAUGCUAUGGGAUUUGUAAUGUACACAAUGAUAUGUACUAGACUUAAUGUGGCUUAUGUUAUUAGUACCCUGAGCCUUUUUAUGGCAAACACUGGACCUGAGCAUUGGACAACCUUAAAAUGGCUUUUUAAGGUACUUGAGAGGAUCUUCACAUUUAGGAUUAUGUUUUAAAGUCUGUAAUGAAGGGGUUGUAUUCAAGUGAUAUGUAGAUGCAGACUAUGCUAGGGAUAGGGAUAAUAAAAAGUCAACAACUGCAUACAUAGUUACUUUGUGUGGUACUUGUAUUAGUUGAAAAUCUCAACUUCAACAAAUUGUUGCAUUAUCCACUGUUGAGGCUGAAUAUGUAGCUACUGCUGAGGCCAUUAAGGAAGCUUUAUGGUUAAAAGGGUUGUUAACUGAAAUAUAUAAACUAAAAUAACCUAUAGUAGUGUAUUCAGACAAUAAAAGUGCAAUACAUUUUUGUAAAAAUCCUAUUUUGCAUGAAAGAACCAAACAUAUUGAUUUUAAACUACAUUUUAUAAGAGAUGUAAUCUCAAAAGAAUUAUUACUUUUUGAAAAAAUUCCCACUGAAUACAAUCCAUCUGACAUGGGAACCAGCGUACUGCCUUUAAAAAAGUUCAAGUCUUGUUUACAAUUACUGAAUAUUGAUGCAUCUUAAUGCUUUGGUCUAUGUAGGUAUAUAAAACUUGGUGACCACUGGAAAUGCUAAGGAGCUACUGCUAUGUUGGAUAAGUAGUAUGUUAGGCUUCUAGUAUGACCACUAGCAUCAAGGUGGAGAUUUUUUGGGCUAUGAUGCCACAUUUAGUCCAAUAAUUUAGGCUGUGAUGAUAUGGCCUGUCAGCCUUGAUAAGUAAAACUGCCCAAUAAAAUCUCAUAGAAGGCCCACAACCCCAAGCCCAAUUUCGGCCGAAUAUAUUGUAUGUUCAAAGUGCGACUUUAGUUGCUGAUUGAAUAGUGGAAACAUUAGUCACUCUGGACCAUUAGAUCACAUCCCAAAUUAAUGGUUGUUGUAUUUAGUAUAAAAGGGGUCUUUCUUGUAACCCUAAAUCAAUCAAUUCAUUCUUCAAGUCCGUGAGAGAGUCUCUAGAAUCUUCAACCCCUUUCGUCUUCUCUUCAAUUCUCAUCUUCCCAUUUUUUUGUGAUUAAAAGUUGAAAUCUCUGUGUGAGAUAGGAGUCUGUGAUUUCCGUUCUGUGCGUAAGACGGUUGAUCUGGGACUGAAUUCUUUUUGGGUUCAUUGUAGUGACUUUGUUUCAUAUCCGAGUUGUGAGGGUUUUGGGUCUAUCCAGUACCUUUGUGUUGAUAAGGAAAGGGUACAGUGAUCUGAAACUAUGAUUAAUGAGAUCUUUGAUGCUGGUUGAUUGGGGAUUUUUCGAGUGUUGUUGAUGUAUUCUCUUUGUACUGAAAUUGUUGUAUCUUUGAAUGAUUUGUAUUAAGAGUUUAACAAGCAAAUUUCUAAGAACCAGUGUUACAUGAUCAAGCUUGCACAACCAAACUUCAAUCUAAAAAAAUGUGUAAACCAAUGGGUGACCAAAAAAUGAAAGACCUCUCUUGGAAUCAUCAAAAUCUCAUCACUUCCUAAACUUCAAAUUCAAAGUAGAAAUUACAAAAAAUUUCUCAAGCACAAACAUGAACUGGUAUCACAUAAAAAGAAC
Molecule: long non-coding RNA, 6796 nt
Filed under: Olea europaea (common olive)
Lineage: Eukaryota; Viridiplantae; Streptophyta; Magnoliopsida; Lamiales; Oleaceae
Description: long non-coding RNA (OEUR_LNC015625)
Source: RNAcentral